CAACAAAGGGCAAGCACCGAAACCAAUUCACUGUACAACACCUUGAGAACACCCCCAAACUAAACUACACUACAAAGCACCUGAAACUGCGGACAACAGAACACCUAGAGCAAACAACACCCAAAGCAAGAGAUCUAAAAAAAACUAAAACAGGAUUCUUAGGUCAGAGAUCUAGAACAAUAAACCGAGUGUCGUUAGCCCAAACAAGGCUACUAAAAACUCGACAUAGUUUUCCGUUAAUCCUCCUUCAAGAGCUUAAUGCAUCAUUGCAUCUAUCCAUGGGGUCUUUAUUUAUCGGCAAGCAACUUUCAAUACACCUUCAGCAAACAAUGAAUCUCCUUUUUCUAUACAAAAUCCAUCACAUGUGAAACAUUCCCUGUUACACAUAAUAUGAUGUGAGAUUUUGGCAUUGUUACACAUAUUCUCAGCAGCAGCAUGUUGUCAGUUUAUAUCAAUGCUGGGUUACCUAGCAUAUGUUCUCUUUCUAUCAUCUUAAAGCAUUAUUUUUUAAAUCCUUAAUUCUUAAAAUCUACCUAAUCAAUUGGCAUGAAUUGUGACUCAUAAAACUGAUUCCGGUGUGUGUAAUAAGAUAAAAUUUAAGGUUAUAAAACUCUGGAAUGUGGCAUAAAAUUUAUAACACGAUAAUUACUUGCUCAUGAAUGUUGGGUUACCGAUUUAUAUCGGCACUCCAUAAAUAUGUUCUCCUUCUGAUAUCUUUAGGCUAAGUAAAUUCUGGAUACGAAUAUAUGGAAGCAAAUUUGUAACAGGAAAAUUAAUCACAUGAAAGAGGAAAUUGUUAACUGCCAAGUUGCACUAUAUAUACAAAUUAUACAGUGGCUUGAGGCAUUUCUGCACUAAAAAUACUGAUAGCAAACAAAGCAGAAUACUGAAAACAUUAUCCAUAUACGUCUUGUAUAACAGGGCACCAAGCCAUAGUAAAGCUCAAGUUUUGGAUCUAGCUAACCAACCAUCUAUUAUUAUCUAACUUGUACAGUUCACACACAUUUUGGGCACAUGGAGCAUCAGUUUUCCUCCUAAUCCUAAUAAGGAUAUGGACUUGGCCUACCACAGAAAGCAAAAGUGUGGGCUGCGUACUAAUCUUAAUACAUAUUAAAAAAAUCUAAUUGACAGGCAACAUUUAAGUGUUUUAUUAGUUUAGUAAUUGUUUACAUAGCAAAUGACGACCACGAAGCACUGAAAUAAGAACUCAAAUACAUUUCAACUCUAUUCUCAUCAUAUAAGACAAUGUACGCUGCCAGUGAAUGGAUAAGAUAAUCACUCACCUUGAUGGUCCCUCCUGUUGCUUGUGUAAAAUUUUACAGACCAUUAGAUAUACCAGAUUCUGAAGGCUGUCUUAAUUCAAUUCGGCAGCAUCCUCUCCCAAGCAGCAAAAAAAACCUAUAAAUGUUCUCUUUUUUUUUCAGUGAACAAAGUGACACCUGGGACAAUCUCAAUAGAGUUUGAACAUUAGUGCAAUGAUCUAUUACUCCCCUUUACAUGAAUAUACUUACUAAAGGGUAGCUAGCAGAGUAUACAUGUGAAAACCAUUCAAACACUUCAAAGUACUCUACUUUCCUCUAGCUGAAUUAUAACCAAUACCUGAUGUUGUAGUGACACAGACAUAGUCCACAAUUAAAUCCAAAACCAAUUUCAGUACAGCAAAAGAAUGAGAUAAUAAUCAAGCCCAAACCAUGUCUCAAAAUAAACCAGAUUGCAAAUAUUGAAAAAAAUGCAGUCUUUCUACUAAGCUGACUAUGUUAUCGUGCGCGUGCAAGGCACGUUUUGGCAAUAUAAUUAACAAAUGAAGAAAAAUCUACGGGAUCUUUUUUAAUGCAAUGCACUCCAUGAAAACAGAAGGACUCAGCCACAAGAUCAUUAACAUGGCAGUAAUAAAAGUAAAAGCAUUGAGACAACUAAGGAGGUUCUAAAAGGCAGCAAGUUUCAAACAAUAGGACAUCAAGUGAGAAAUGCAUAUGUAACGGUUUGGAACAUGGGCACAGGAAGUGAGGAACUCACAGCAUCAGGCAUGGACUUGAACUUGUCACCACCAAAUCAACCAAAUCAGAACACACAUUGUAGCAGGCAACGCAGCAGAGGAACACAAACACGUCACCAAGAUACCUGCUUGACGUUGGGGUGCUCCUUGCAGUCCUUCCCUGCUGAAACAAACACGUCACACCAAAUCGAUCAGAACGCCAAAUCGAUCAGAACGCACACCCAAGCCACCUUGAAUGGAGAACCAGCAGCACAAACUCUCCUUCCUCUCCGUCGCGGCGCGAGCAGGGAAGCAGGCGGUUUGGGCAGGAGGCGGCGGCGGUGGGCGCAGCGGCUCAGGCGGGAGGAGGCGGCGGCGAGUGCAGCCGCGCGCGAGCGGAGUGGCGCCGGCGGGCGCGCAGUAGGCGAGCGGUGGGCGCGUAGAAGGCGGCGGCAGGCGGCGCCGCGCAGGAGGAUAGCUUUUCUUUUUUUUUUUUUCUUUUUCGGCGUUAGUGGAUUCUUUUCUUUUUAUUUUCGCUAACCG
This 2518-nucleotide long non-coding RNA is filed under the name Oryza sativa (Asian cultivated rice). Its description in RNAcentral is "long non-coding RNA (OSAT_LNC001141)". The record is from RNAcentral. Lineage: Eukaryota; Viridiplantae; Streptophyta; Magnoliopsida; Poales; Poaceae.